CCUACGGGUGGCAGCAGUAAGGAAUAUUGGACAAUGCCCGCAAGGGUGAUCCAGCCAUGCCGCGUGCAGGAAGACGGCCCUAUGGGUUGUAAACUGCUUUUACACCGGAGAAAACCCCCCUACGUGUAGGGGGCUGAUAGUAUGGUGAGAAUAAGCAUCGGCUAACUUCGUGCCAGCAGCCGCGGUAAGACGAAGGAUGCAAGCGUUAUCCGGAUUCAUUGGGUUUAAAGGGAGCGUAGGCGGCCCGAUAAGUCAGUGGUGAAAUCUCCUGGCUUAACUAGGAAAUUGCCAUUGAUACUGUUGGGCUUGAGUACAGUUGCCGUUGGCGGAAUAUGACAUGUAGUGGUGAAAUACAUAGAGAUGUCAUAGAACACCGAUUGCGAAGGCAGCUAACGAAACUGUAACUGACGCUGAGGCUCGAAAGUGCGGGGAUCAAACAGGAUUAGAUACCCUAGUAGUC
This 460-nucleotide ribosomal RNA is filed under the name uncultured Bacteroidota bacterium. Its description in RNAcentral is "bacterial SSU rRNA". It matches the Rfam family "Bacterial small subunit ribosomal RNA", at positions 338 to 795 of the family's 1533-position model. Lineage: Bacteria; Pseudomonadati; Bacteroidota. The record is from RNAcentral.